UACGGAGGGUGCGAGCGUUAAUCGGAAUUACUGGGCGUAAAGCGUGCGUAGGCGGAUUGUUAAGCGAGAUGUGAAAUCCCGGGGCUCAACCUCGGAACUGCAUUUCGAACUGGCAGACUAGAGUCUUGGAGAGGGGAGUGGAAUUCCAGGUGUAGCGGUGAAAUGCGUAGAGAUCUGGAGGAACAUCAAUGGCGAAGGCGGCUCACUGGCUCGAUACUGACGCUGAUGGACGAAAGCGUGGGUAGCGAACAGG
This 253-nucleotide ribosomal RNA is filed under the name uncultured bacterium. Its description in RNAcentral is "partial 16S ribosomal RNA". It matches the Rfam family "Bacterial small subunit ribosomal RNA", at positions 524 to 776 of the family's 1533-position model. The record is from RNAcentral.